Molecule: unclassified non-coding RNA, 328 nt
Filed under: Hevea brasiliensis (rubber tree)
Lineage: Eukaryota; Viridiplantae; Streptophyta; Magnoliopsida; Malpighiales; Euphorbiaceae
Source: RNAcentral
CAGAAGCCGAUGGUCAUCUUCUAAACAGUAUCCAAUCAAUUUCACAAGAUUCGGAUGAUAAAGCUGCCCGAGAAAGUUGAUUUCAGUCAGCCAUUCCUGGUGACCCUGGAAACUCUCUUGGUUAAGCCUCUUCACAGCAAUAACCAUGCCAGUUCCAGGCCUGGUAGGUGUCAGUGAAUGUUCAUCAAUCCAUCCUUUGUAGACACAGCCAAAUCCUCCUUCACCCAACACACUAUCCGGACGGAAGUUCCUGGUUGCUGCCUUUAGUUCACUAUAGCUAAAGCUCUUCAAAUUGGAAGACUGCAAGAUCUCACCCUCUGUCCGAGGA